UCAGUUUCUGGACAAUGCCCUCUGAUGAC
This 29-nucleotide non-coding RNA is filed under the name Mus musculus (house mouse). The record is from RNAcentral. Lineage: Eukaryota; Metazoa; Chordata; Mammalia; Rodentia; Muridae.